UAUGAAUUUUCAGACUAAGCACCAUGCCGAACCUUCUCGUGGCCAUGACGGAAGACGCGAUGCACCGGAAGUUCACUGUGGAGGACGCAACCUCCCACUCUGGGCAGAGAGUCGUGUUUGAUGGUUACAUGGUCGACGUGAUGGAUUACGUCGCUCAGGGAGUAAAUUUCUCGUACAGUUUCGUCCAUGAUAACUCAUACGGCAUGAAGAGAGAAGAUGGUACUUGGACUGGAAUGGUGGGGCUGGUCUACAGAGGGGACGUAGAUAUCGGCCUUGGCCCAUUCACUGUGACAACUGAUCGUGCAAGGGCAGUUGAUUUCACUUAUCCCGUGGAGGUAACCUCAAGUCGCAUAUUGGCUGGACAGAAAAAAUUGGAGGUGGAUCCUUGGGGUUUCGCGCUGCCACUCAGCCCCAAAGUGUGGAUGGUAACAUUUAUCUCCCUCGUCAUUCUGCCUGGAAUCAUAUGUCUACUUAUGUUCCUCUUCAUUAGCAAGAAAGAAAUAAUUAGCCAGUGGAAUAAAUUACAGUUUGGUUUCCUUGUGAUGUUUCUUCAGGGAAGUGAGUGUUUCUCUCUCUUACUUACACACACACACACACAUACACACACAUCUGUGUCCAUGCACAG
This is a long non-coding RNA of Scylla paramamosain (green mud crab), 625 nucleotides long. RefSeq lists it as uncharacterized. The transcript has 3 exons. The record is from RefSeq and is a predicted model, not a curated record. NCBI's taxonomy places the organism in Eukaryota, Metazoa, Arthropoda, Malacostraca, Decapoda, Portunidae.